This is a non-coding RNA of Ciona savignyi (Pacific transparent sea squirt), 119 nucleotides long. The record is from Rfam. Lineage: Eukaryota; Metazoa; Chordata; Ascidiacea; Phlebobranchia; Cionidae.
GAACUGUGGCUUCUCUUUAACGUAUAAUUCUUUGCCUUUUACUAAAGAAUUCCGUGGAGGGGAGCAGUUCAAUAAGUCUUGAACAGUUUUUUCAUAGAAUACUAACUUACAGUAAGUUA